UUGGAGGGCAAGUCUGGUGCCAGCAGCCGCGGUAAUUCCAGCUCCAAUAGCGUAUAUUAAAGUUGUUGCAGUUAAAAAGCUCGUAGUUGAAUUUCGGGGUCAGUAGAUUGGUCAUGCCACUGGUAUGUACUGGUCUCACUGAUUCCUCCUUCCUGAUGAGCCGUAAUGCCAUUAAUUUGGUGUUGCGAGGAAUCUGGACUGUUACUUUGAAAAAAUUAGAGUGUUUAAAGCAGGCUAACGCUUGAAUACAUUAGCAUGGAAUAAUGAAAUAGGACGUUCGAUAUCUUAUUUUGUUGGUUUCUAAGAUUGACGUAAUGAUUAAUAGGGAUAGUUGGGGGCAUUAGUAUUCAAUUGUCAGAGGUGAAAUUCUUGGAUUUAUUGAAGACUAACUACUGCGAAAGCAUUUGCCAAGGAUGUUUUCAUUAAUCAAGAACGAAAGUUAGGGGAUCGAAGACGAUCAGAUACCGUCGUAGUCUUAACCAUAAACUAUGCCGACUAGGGAUCGGAUGAUGUUAAUUUUUUAAUGACUCAUUCGGCGCCUUACGGGAAAC
Molecule: ribosomal RNA, 551 nt
Filed under: uncultured Glomerales
Lineage: Eukaryota; Fungi; Glomeromycota; Glomeromycetes; Glomerales; Glomeraceae
Description: SSU rRNA
Rfam family: Eukaryotic small subunit ribosomal RNA
Source: RNAcentral